UAAGCCUUCAGAGCAGUUCCAGGAGUCCAUUUACGGGAGGGGGGAGAUGAGCGCUGCUGAGGCUUGGGGGCUCAGGUCCCGCACCAUUCCCCCUCCGCGACAAUCUGAGAGAGCUCCAGUGGUUACUUUUCUCUACCUGUCCGUUCACCCUAAACUGUCACUCGUCAGUCUCACUCUGAAAAGAGACAGUAACUUGAAACGUUGUUCUAAACUCCUAGGCCCGUCCCCCAAACACCCUUUUGACUGGGACCCCCGCCCCUGCAUGGGACCUCGCGCAGAGGGGGGUGUGUGUGUGUGUGAGUGUAGAGGAAGGCUUGGCCUAAGGCCUCUCCUUCUCCCUCCCCUUGCCUCUGGGGUGGGGGUGGGGUGUUGUGGCUGUGUGUGUGGCUGUGGCUCCGUCCCGGGGGUUCUGUCACCCGGCUGUGUCCAGCCUCCUCUCCACCCCCCACACCUAAGAGUCACCAACCCGGGGUGUGAUUCACCACCCGCUGGAACCGUGCAACCUUUCCCCGAGGAAGAAGGAGGAGGUAGAAGCCAGUUGAGCAGAAAUCCUCUCAUUAACCACUGCGUCACGGUGUAGUGGAAGGGUGGGUGUUGUGGCUUUUUCCCUGUGACACAUACAUCCACACUCGCUCACCCUGUGCUCACUCACGGGGUCGGUGUGUGUUAUGUGUGUUGGGUGUGUGUGUGUCGGUGUCUUUGUUUGUGUGUCUACGCCUGUGUGUGUAUGUGUCACCCCGUAGGAGUGCGCCGGUCUCGGGGAAAUGCCCGGUUCCUUCGUGCCCACGGUCACCGCGAUCACAACCAGCCAGGACCUCCAGUGGCUUGUGCAACCCACCCUCAUCUCUUCCAUGGCCCAGUCCCAGGGGCAGCCACUGGCCUCCCAGCCCCCGGUCGUCGACCCCUACGACAUGCCGGGAACCAGCUACUCCACACCAGGCAUGAGUGGCUACAGCAGUGGCGGAGCGAGUGGCAGUGGUGGGCCUUCCACCAGCGGAACUACCAGUGGGCCUGGGCCUGCCCGCCCAGCCCGAGCCCGGCCUAGGAGACCCCGAGAGGAGACGGUGAGUAAGGGACAUCAGAACUUGGCCUGGGUAGGGGGAAGCAAGAGAGGCAGGAAGUUUCUUACGAAUGGAGGGGGGCUCCACUAAGGCCUCAGUGUUACAGAAACCCCAAGAUCCUUGCUACACGAGCGAGGACUGGAGGCUUGUUUUUUGGCUCUUGGGGGUUCUGAAAGAAGUAGAGGUUCGGGAUGGGUGGAGGAGUGCUGUAUCCCCAAAUCUCAUGGCCUCUAUCUCCCUGACUCAGCUCACCCCAGAGGAAGAGGAGAAGCGAAGGGUGCGCCGGGAACGAAAUAAACUAGCAGCAGCUAAAUGCAGGAACCGGCGGAGGGAGCUGACCGACCGACUCCAGGCGGUGAGGACAGGCCCUGGGGUGGGAGAGGGGAUGCUGAGGGGAGCUCUCUCCCCAUUCUCUGCCCCCUCUCCACCUGUACCCUUAUCCUGGGUUGAGAACUAGACGUUCCACACAUGGAACUAGGUACUGCUGUGGCCAGACUGGGUAGCCCCGGUACCCAGGUCUGUGUGGUAGCACAAACACAGACCCCCAUGGACUUAAGUCAACUCCUGGUCCCCCCCAUUUCCUGACCCCACGGACUACUCUCCUAGUCUUCAUUUCAUCCCGAGGGGCCACAUGGGGCCCUUGAGGAGAGGGGCGCUCCCAUCAUUUCUCCCAUCUGGUCUUCAGCAAGUAACAACCCAUUUUGCCUCAGUUUCUCCAUCUCUGCAAACCCUCAUCAAAUCUCCUGGGCUCUUUCUACCCUUAACACUCUGGAAAGCCUGUGAAAUGAAAUUAUUCCACCUCCUGCCCUAGCCACCCACAGCUCUCCUGGUGCUGGUGGCAUCCCCCAAAACCCACUCCCUUCCUACGUCCUCCCUUGGUCUGAGAGUUCCCUGCUGUAUGCCUGCAGGGUGAGCUGUUACUCCUUGAGGGAACAAGGGAAUUGUCAACUUUCCUUCUCUACUUUAUCUCUUCCCCGGGAGGUAGAGAGGCAGGGGUAAUAGAAGGGAACACAUUAAAAACACAUAACAGUGGCUCAUGCGUGUGAUCCCAGCACUUUGAGAGGCCAAGGCAGGAGGAUUGCUUGAGCCCAGGAGUUUGAGACCAGCCUGGGAAACAUAGGGAGGACUUGUCUCUACC
Molecule: small RNA, 2199 nt
Filed under: Pan troglodytes (chimpanzee)
Lineage: Eukaryota; Metazoa; Chordata; Mammalia; Primates; Hominidae
Description: retained intron
Source: RNAcentral